Non-coding RNA from Solanum lycopersicum (tomato), 522 nucleotides. NCBI's taxonomy places the organism in Eukaryota, Viridiplantae, Streptophyta, Magnoliopsida, Solanales, Solanaceae. The record is from RefSeq and is a predicted model, not a curated record.
GAAGAGGGGAGGCCUGGCACUAUCACAGUGUCUGAAGAAUCUGUUCGGAGAAUUCAAGUCAAGGUGGAGAUUUGUUGAAUGCCUUGAAUCGGACCCGUUACAACAGAAAGGACGGGGGUCUCGCUGUUACGUGUUAUAAAAAACUGUUGCGUGUUAUAAAAAACUCUGUUACACAGUACCCACCCAUCGACUGUCGGAAGAUAGGCUUCUCUCAUAGUUCUGAGAAGCUGGUGGAUAUUCAGGACUACCUUAGUGGCGUCAACAAUGACAGGAACCUUGUCUUUGUGGUAUGGUCUAGUGUAAUUUUCUAUAGACAAUUACAUAUUAGUGUGAAGUUAUAGUUUACUUGAUAUUUGACAUAUGAAGGUUGGGGCUAUGUGCUCAUGGGAAAAUUGAUAAAGAUUAUUUAUCAAUUUCAGAUUAUCCAUUGAGUUCUGCAUACUGCAUAUCAAUGAUCACGAAUGCCAUGGAGCGCAAAUGGAAGAUUUUGUAGAUUGACCUUACUCCCAAGACAUACUUUCU